Molecule: non-coding RNA, 3056 nt
Organism: Macaca mulatta (Rhesus monkey)
Lineage: Eukaryota; Metazoa; Chordata; Mammalia; Primates; Cercopithecidae
Source: RefSeq, a predicted model, not a curated record
AGGAGUAGCCACAUACUUUUCCCAGAUUCAAACUGAGGAGAAUUAGACUCCCUUCAAGAUAGAGGAGUGGUGAGAUCACAUAAUAAGAGCAGGAAAGAUGGAGAUAUUGUUGCAGCCAUUUUGGAAAAUGCAAUAUCUCCCUUUAUGUGGAGGUAACAGCCAGAGGCAACUAUGGGUAGAAGGCCAGAUGCUUUUAGGUCCAGGCUGUUUUUGGUUCCAAGAGACUACUGGUGAACUGUAGAAUAGUACAUCAUUUGCUUUAUGGCUGAAGGUCAUCGAGAAGAUAACUGAGGAAUUCAUUGGCAAGUUGUGGGUGUUGCUUUUUACAGUAUUUUAUUGUGAAAUAUAGGCCACAGUCUCCAUGACCAUAGGGACACAGUCUUGUUCACAACUCUAUCUCCAGGAAGGAGGAGCAUGCCCGGUUCAUAGCAGACGGUCCAUCAAUGUUUUUGAGUGAAGAAUCUGGUGCAGUUUUUAGAGCUGAGGGUCAAAGUCAGAGACAGAUUAGAGGCCAGAGUGAUUGGGUCCAGGACCUAGAUGGCUGGGCAAGAUUGGCAUCCAGAAAUUUGAAUACUUAGCAGACAGUGCUGCGACCAGAGAGUGAAAGCCGGGAGCCCACCAGCAUCACAUGAUUGUUGCUUCACUAGGCAGGAAGCUGCUUGCUCAUCACCUGAUUCAAAGUUUCUUUCUCCGCUUCUCAUCCCUGGGGGCUACAAACCUUCAUAUAUCCAACUGUCAAUUUCACUUCCUAGCAGCUUCAGUACAAUUGGGAGCCAGAGCGCUACUUUUUAGAAGGGGAGGAUGACCAAGUAAGAAACAGUUCACCAGUGGGUGAGGCAAUGGGUGAAUUGCACGGUUUCUGCUUUUGAAGUUGAAUGAACUCUUAUGAGGGAGGCAUACACAAAGGAAACAAAAUUUUACUGACUUGCCUUUCAUAAAAAGGAGCAUUUUGGAGGAUAUUUAAUUCCAGACCUAGAUUUGGGAUUACUAGAAGCUGUUAGGUUUAACAUCUUUAUGAUGAUGUGGAUGUCAGACUGGAUUUAAAUGGCACACUUACAUGAGCCUCAGCAUCUCUCCCGGAGCUAUAUUCAUCAUCCCCAGGGAGCCCGAGAUGCACAUCUGCUUCACCUACCAAAAAAUUAUCAGAUGUCCAAAUUCUUCAGCAACUAGCACUUAGAUCUUUUACACUCUCUGGUACUAACAGGCAUUGAGCCCAGAGCCCUCCAAGGUAACGGUUGAUAGUACAUGGUCUUCCAGAGAAAACGUGGCCUUAAUUCCAAAGACUGAGUUAAAUAGUGGCAUUUCUGGUAUUCUCCAGGCUGUGGAGAGAUCUUUGACAAUAGAAUAAUUUUCUGGAAUAAGGGACAUUCAAUGCCCCUGACCCAUCAAGUUGCAUCAGCAUCUUCCAGCUUCUCCAGGGCCUUGAGCCACUGAAGGGCUGUCCUCCCUUCAUGGUUCUCUGCCUUUUGUCCUCGGCUGACAUCCUCCAUCAGUGACAAUGCUUCCAAGAGGCAGGGAUUUUACCCACAGGGAAUGAACUGGAGGUCCACAUCCUUCUAGAGUGUGCAGGUCAGAAACCCCUGGGGAAGCACGUUGAACCUCUCCUCCCAAUUAGGGUGAUUCUGAUUCCCCCUUGUUUCAUAAUCCCCACAGGGCCUAGGGCUGUAGAGUGCAGAAUAGCACAGACUGCUAAAUCAGCCACGUGUCUUAGAGCUGUUUCUCCAUCCAACUUGGACAGAAGUCUCUCAGACAGAUGAUGUCAGUGCAACUGGAGGGGAGACGUUAAAAAUCUGUGCUCUCUCUGGCUGCGAAAACCUUUCCCGGAAUGCUCAGGACCUGAUGGUGGGAUUGUAGACCGGGGUAGUCAUUCUGGAGAGUAAUUUGGCAGUACAUGGUGAAAUGAAGUGUGUCUACGCCCUGUGACCCAACCACCCCUUUCUAGAGCCUACACCCCAGACAAACCCAGGCAUGGACUCAUAAAGGGAUGUGUAUGAGGGUGUUCAUUGCAGCACUGGGUGUGGGAAUGAAAACGAUGAUACUGAUGCUGAUGGCUAACACUUGCUGGGUGCUUAUGUGUGCUAAACACUUUACAUCUUCUCAAUACUCUUAGUAUCUCCAUUUUAGAAACGAGAAAACUGAGGUGUGGGAGGUGGAGUAAACGGGCUAAAUUCACACAGCUGGUGAAUAGGGUGUGAUGCCAGGCAGCCUGCUUCCUGAGGAUGAAGUCCUGACCAUUACGCUUGAUGAUCUACCUCUGUGUCCACCACUGGGGAAUGGGUAGGUAAAUAUGGAACGAUGUGCAUCAAGCCCUGGACAACUCUGAAAGCAUAAUGCUGAGUGAAAAAGGAAGAGAAAGCAUGAGCUCUAUAGUUCCUACCACAUAUCUAUCUAUCUAUUUAUCUGUCCGUCUAUCUAUCUAUCUAUCUAUCUAUCUAUCUAUCUAUCUAUCUAUUGAGAGAGAGAGAGAGAAAGAGAGAAUAGACAGAGUAAUGCAACAUCAUACAAUUUCAAAUGUAUUACUAUAUACACACCCCCAAGAACAUUUAGUGAGCACCUAUUGCGGAGAGGGUGGGGGCAAGCAGAAGUCAGGGAUGACUCAUAUAAAUAAAAAUAGAGCAAACAAAACAAGAAAGAGCCUUGCCCAGAAUGAUGAUGACUGGGCACCAUGAAUUAAUGAUGUGCUUAAUUCUGCUCUCUCCUCCUGAGGUUCACAUCCUGCACCCCACAAUAAUUUUUUUAUGAAACUAGAGUUAAAGCUUCAUUUCUACUUCAGGGAGGAUCAGAGAAGGCACAUUCGUUCUCUUUCUCUUCAGGACUCCAUUCAGUGAGCAGCAGAGUCCUGCAAUAUGUGUACAUUCUACCUAGUGUUUUAUUCCACCCCGUGAUAUAAGCUCAUUUCCUCCCAUUUCACAGAUGCGGAGAGAAGCAGGUCAGAGAGGAAGCAACCUUGCAAAUUAUCAGCUGAUCUUGCACUUGACUCAGGUCCUGGCACAGAGGUUUAGCCCUGUGGUUUACAGAACACCUCUAACAAUGGUCCUGGCAACCACUGGUUUUAU